This 4046-nucleotide unclassified non-coding RNA is filed under the name Leishmania donovani. RNAcentral's name for it is "gene:LdHU3.04.1380(CDS-product:hypothetical_prote in_conserved)". Lineage: Eukaryota; Euglenozoa; Kinetoplastea; Trypanosomatida; Trypanosomatidae. The record is from RNAcentral.
GUCCAACAGUUCUUCUUUGUUGUCCCCCUUCGCUGCGUUCUCGGCGCACGCACAGGCAGAGCAGGAGGGAGAUACGGCCACGCGCGCACACACAGUGGCACAUACUCGCGGCGGCACGUGCUGUCUUCCCGCCUCCCUGCUUUGUUUUCCUACGGCUGCCAUCGACGCCGCGCUGCUGCUUUUCCUAGUUCCGCUCCGCCUCCUCCCUCGCUCCCCGCUGCUGUGUGGUGAGGGGUGUGGCGCUGCAUCUGCAUGUGCGCGUGCGGCGCAGGGGCGCACUCCGCUGCAUCUCAGGUGAAAUUUUAAUGAUGUCAUGCCGCAGCGGCAGCGGCACAGCGACGGCUGUGUACGAGGCGCUGCCAUCGACACCGGUGCGCCGCCAACUCGGCACGUCCACGGAUGACGCUGCCAUCUUUCUCGAGGACACGGUUGAUCGAGUGACGGCGCAGUGCAUUGACGCCUCGCCAUCUGCUUUGGCUCUGCUGUCGCCGCAGCAUAUGCCGACCAGCAGCGCCGCCCACGUCGACGUCACCGAGUACGAUGUGAGCUACCUUGGCUCUCUCUCGGCUUCCCACCGGAAGAGCGCCGGUGGGGGCAGCAGCGGCAAGAGUCGCCCGAGCCACCAUCACCACCGUGCGCUGCACGACGUCACGAACACGUCUGUCACGAAGAUGAACUUCAGCUCAGCGUCCGCUAGUAAAUCGCCUAAUCCCAAGGCAGCAGGGAGGAGUAUGUCGCACGGCUCGCACCCGAACAGUGUGUCGCACAGCACCUCGCUCGCUCGCAGCACACCGCGGCGCAGCACCCACGACCGCAGCCCGGCGGCCUCUGAGCCGAUGGUGCCACUCGCUGAGUAUGAGGCGCUGCAGCGGGAACGCAACCGGUACGAAAAGAUGUACGAGCACCAGCGCGCACUUUACGAGGAUAUGGCUGAGAAACACGCGGACGCGUACCAGGCGCUGCAGGACAAGAUCAUCGAGGUUGUCGCGCUGUCCACGCGCAACGAGGAGAGCAAGCGCUUCAUUCGGCAGCUGAAGCGGGAGAUGUCCGAGAGUCGCACCCGUGUGAUGGACAUGCAGAACAAGGCUCUGGAGGAGGCCAAGCUGGAGCGUUCCGCCAAGAUGCGGUACGAGGCGCUCAUUAAAGAGCACGAGCGCAAGUAUGAACGGCUGGUGGAGCGGCACGAGACGAAGCUGGCAGGGAUGGAGAGCCUCGUGAGGGACUUGACAUGCCUACGCGGGGAGCAGGACAGCAUCCACGUCUCGCAGCUCGACUCCCUGCUGAAGGCUGCCUACUCGAAAAGCACGGCCCUCUUCAGCGACCUGCUUCGCCAAGGCAAACAGAUUGAUCUUCUCUACGAAGCUAAAGGGUCUCUCGAGGCGCAGGUGGAGCAGCAACGCAAGGAGAAGCGGGAGAUAGAGGCGACACUGCGCGAGGAGCGGCGCAACAUGGCCGGCGAGAUGGAGCGGAUGAUCGAGCAGAUCGAGGAGCAGCAGCAGUCGAUCCUGAACCUGCGUCAGAUGCUGAUCCGUACCAUGGACAACCGCGACAACGUCUUCGCCUACAGUCGGGGUCCGCGUCAUGUACAAGGUGUGGAAGGCGACGAGGAUGGCAGCGACAACGGAAGCACCAGCAGCAGCCUUACGUCCUCGCCGCCGACAUCACCGAUUUGCGGCGGAGGUGUGGCCGAGGAGGUCGAGGAGGACGAGGAAGAUGAAAACGAGAACACGGGAGGCGACGGCGUGUAUGCGGCGCCUGCGCGAGGGGAGGCAAAGAAGUCAGGCGCCGAUGUGGAGCGCAGCCCGGUACGUGUGCGCGGAUCCACGACGGCGACCGAGCCUAUCAUCUCCGCCUCCAGCGGGUACGUGGCUCCGCUCGCGAGCAACAGCGUGGUUGCACCUCGGCGCAUGACGACCGCCGGGAGCCAAUCCUCGGUCCCUCUGUCGAAGACGAGACCCGCAGCCGUGGUGCCCCCACUGCCGCUGACAUCACGUGAUGGCACGUCGUCGUUUCGGCAGGGGCCUUACCGGAAUCAGCGCAGCAGCGGCGACGCUGAUCGACGCACCGCGGAGACUGCAGCGGACGAUGGCCAACGCCCGUGCAAGCGAAGUCUCAGUGACAAGGGUAGCGCCGCGAAUUCCGAGUCGGCGGAAGCCUUGCCGAGUGCAGCAGCAGCAGAAGCAGCAGCCACCACGGUGGCGUCGCGACGGCGGCUGGACUUCUCUACCGCGUUGGCCGCCGUUGCAGAGAAGCGCCGUCGCGACCGGGCUAUCCGCGAGGAAAUCGGCCUCAAGCAUGGGUCGGAUAAAGAGAACAGCAAGCCGUCUGUGCCACAUCGCGUCGUUGUUCGCUCCUGCGCGGUGGGAAGCAUCACGACGGCGCGCAAGGCAGUGCUAGUGGAGCGUGACGGCGCCAACACUGGAGCGCAGCGAGGCGAGGAUGAUGAGGCGGAGCCGCGGCUGUUCCCACGCAACGUUCUGACGCCUGGCGAGUGACGACGGAAGCUCUUGUGGCGUGCACGUGCGUAACCGCGUUCGCAUUCCGCUCUCUCUUCAGGUGUGCUACGUUCGUUGCCCGCCAUCCCCGCGCCAUGCCCCUCAUCUUUCCCAACCCCCUCCCCGCCCCGCCCACUACGGCGUCACCAUGCUUGCCAUCCUGCAUCCUUCUUAUUCGUCGGUACAUUUGUAUAUAUGCGUACAUGUGCGUGCGUCUGUGUCGGUGUGCGCGCUUGUCUCACGUCCCCCCUCUUUCUCUGCGCGCGCUGUUUCGUUGGCCAUCCUCCAUCAUACCCCCUCUCCCUCCCUCACCGCCACAGCUUACCAAGCGUUUCCGUACUAGACCCCCCUCCUCGCCCCUCUCUUGUUUCUGUAAUGUUAGACGCCAAACUGUUCGCUUUUCUAUCCCAUUUUUGUGUGUGUAGCCGAGUCUCACGGCAGGUGCGCGCGUGCAUGCGCGCAGGAUUGGUUCGCUUGUUCGUUGGUAGAUGGGGAUGUGCACGUAUCAUGUCGACUCUCGGCUCUCUAUGUGUUUCUCCGGCUGCCGCCUUCUCUCACCCCCCUCUCUGCUGUCGCGUGCGGCUGUGCGUGAUGUGGCCGACCACGUGCACUUAGAUGUACGUGAGCGAGAACCGCUUCAUGGAAAGCCAUACCGUGCAACGAGAGAGAGGGGCAGUGCGCGCGUGUGUGCGUGUGGAAGCUCUGUAGCAAGAACCACACACACCAGACACGUGCCCAGUAGAUAGAGGCGACGGAGGAGGUGCAGGCACAGGCACACACGUACAGACACAGACACAGACACACACACACACACACACCGUCACCGUCACUAUCACCACCACCAACACCACUCCGCAUGCACACGUUCCACACGUUUUUAUCUCUUCCGCAGUUUGCGGACGCCGCACCCCCAAGCCCCCACCCCAUUUUGUAUGAUUUUCCUCGUCGUCCAACCCCAAAGCUGGGCCGAUGAAGGAGACGAAGGCAGGGGAAGAGCCAGCAACACGUAACGGCACACACACACACACACGCACACAACCACGCUUACCAGUACAACGGGUUGUGACCGGAGCCACACGCAAAUGGGUGGAAUGCGUUUUCUGCGCGCACCACGCAUGCACCGUCCCACCCCCUUCCCCAGCCAGCACACGUUCGUGCAGAGGAGUGGGCGGAGGGGGGAGGGGGCAUAUGCGUCGUGUUGCGCGUGACGUGCGUUCUUUCCUUCUUCGCAGGUGCGGUGGCAGUGUGUUCGAGAGGUACACGGGCGGACGGGUGUAGGACGUCUGUUCUUCAACACCCAGCAGCGUCAUGGCCGACUCCGCUGAGCGCGUAUGCUGCAGUGAGCUGUCAUGUGUGCUGUGUGUGUGUGUGUGUGCCGAUGCAAGAAGUCCGCGCACCUUCCCUCUUAUUACGCCCUUCCUGUCUCUCUGUCUCGCCCAUCUCUGUCACUCGUGCUGUGCACGCCAUCGUAUCGCCGCCUUGAUGCACACCGUCUCUCUUUCGAACACACACACGCGCACACAUGCAUGCACGCACGUCGUCGAACUCAAG